This 126-nucleotide microRNA precursor is filed under the name Daucus carota subsp. sativus. RNAcentral's name for it is "sRNA DCAR_mi00029". The record is from RNAcentral. Lineage: Eukaryota; Viridiplantae; Streptophyta; Magnoliopsida; Apiales; Apiaceae.
CAAUAUUAGGAUUCAGAGUUUGUGUAAGCUUAAGAGAGCAAACGAGGCUAAGGCAUUGCUUGAUGAGAUGUUUUCUCGUGGAAUGAAGCCGAAUAAAGUUACUUACUAUCAUUUGAUUCAUGGGUU